RNAcentral lists this ribosomal RNA (381 nucleotides) under Chromohalobacter israelensis. Its description in RNAcentral is "bacterial SSU rRNA". It matches the Rfam family "Bacterial small subunit ribosomal RNA", at positions 33 to 407 of the family's 1533-position model. Lineage: Bacteria; Pseudomonadati; Pseudomonadota; Gammaproteobacteria; Oceanospirillales; Halomonadaceae. The record is from RNAcentral.
GAUGACGCUGGCGGCAGGCCUAACACAUGCAAGUCGAGCGGUAACAGGUCCAGCUUGCUGGACGCUGACCAGUUGGCGGACGGGUGAGUAAUGCAUAGGAAUCUACCCAGUCGUGGGGGAUAACCUGGGGAAACCCAGGCUAAUACCGCAUACGUCCUACGGGAGAAAGCGGGGGCUCUUCGGACCUCGCGCGAUUGGAUGAGCCUAUGUCGGAUUAGCUGGUUGGUGGGGUAACGGCUCACCAAGGCGACGAUCCGUAGCUGGUCUGAGAGGAUGAUCAGCCACACUGGGACUGAGACACGGCCCAGACUCCUCCGGGAGGAAACAGUGGGGAAUAUUGGACAAUGGGCGAAAGCCUGAUCCAGCCAUGCCGCGUGUGUG